RNAcentral lists this non-coding RNA (29 nucleotides) under Rattus norvegicus (Norway rat). Lineage: Eukaryota; Metazoa; Chordata; Mammalia; Rodentia; Muridae. The record is from RNAcentral.
UAGCUUAUCACUUGAGAUUCCAUCUCUGA